AAUGCCGACAAUAUCCUUUCCCAGGCCGCUGUCUAGACCAAGCAUCACACCGUCGUCCUGGAGCUCCAUCUGGGACAGCAUCGGGAGACGACAGGGGACAAAAAAAGUGGGACAUGGUGUGCCAUUAUAAAUGUCCCACGUGUCUUUGUGCUGUGUCACUUUCCGUCAUGUUGUCAACCUAUACCUACUGUAUUCAAUGAUGCCAAUAAACGGAUGAAAUUGUA
Long non-coding RNA from Solea senegalensis (Senegalese sole), 224 nucleotides. RefSeq lists it as uncharacterized. The record is from RefSeq and is a predicted model, not a curated record. The transcript has 2 exons. NCBI's taxonomy places the organism in Eukaryota, Metazoa, Chordata, Actinopteri, Pleuronectiformes, Soleidae.